GGUGAACGCUGGCGGCGUGCUUAACACAUGCAAGUCGAACGAAGCACUUUAUUACGAUUUCUUCGGAAUGACGAUUUAGUGACUGAGUGGCGGACGGGUGAGUAACGCGUGGGUAACCUGCCUUAUACAGGGGGAUAACAGUUAGAAAUGACUGCUAAUACCGCAUAAGCGCACAGGAUUGCAUGAUCUGGUGUGAAAAACUCCGGUGGUAUAAGAUGGACCCGCGUCUGAUUAGCUGGUUGGUGAGGUAACGGCCCACCAAGGCGACGAUCAGUAGCCGACCUGAGAGGGUGACCGGCCACAUUGGGACUGAGACACGGCCCCAAAAUCCUACGGGAGGCAGCAGUGGGGAAUAUUGCACAAUGGGGGAAACCCUGAUGCAGCGACGCCGCGUGAGCGAAGAAGUAUUUCGGUAUGUAAAGCUCUAUCAGCAGGGAAGAAAAAAUGACGGUACCUGACUAAGAAGCCCCGGCUAACUACGUG
This 483-nucleotide ribosomal RNA is filed under the name uncultured bacterium. Its description in RNAcentral is "bacterial SSU rRNA". It matches the Rfam family "Bacterial small subunit ribosomal RNA", at positions 28 to 507 of the family's 1533-position model. The record is from RNAcentral.